This 470-nucleotide ribosomal RNA is filed under the name uncultured organism. RNAcentral describes it as "bacterial SSU rRNA". It matches the Rfam family "Bacterial small subunit ribosomal RNA", at positions 29 to 507 of the family's 1533-position model. The record is from RNAcentral.
AACGAACGCUGGCGGCGUGGCUAAGACAUGCAAGUCGAACGGGUCUGUUAAUUUAUUAGCAGAUCAGUGGCGAAAGGGUGAGUAAUGGAUAGGUAACGUGCCCCGUACUCUGGGAUAGCCAUCCGAAAGGGUGGGUAAUACCGGAUGAUAUCACCGGCUGACGGGUCGGUGAUCAAAGAUUUAUCGGCGCGGGAGCGGCCUAUCUCCUAUCAGCUAGUUGGUGAGGUAACGGCCCACCAAGGCGAAGACGGGUAGCGGGACUGAGAGGUUGGCCCGCCACAUCGGAACUGAGAUACUGUCCGGACCCCCACGGGGGGCUGCAGUAACGGAUCUUGGGCAAUGGGCGAAAGCCUGACCCAGCGACGCCGCGUGCGGGAGGAAGUCCUUCGGGAUGUAAACCGCUGUCAGGGGUAAGAAAGUCCGUUUCGGCGGAUUGAUCGAACCCAGAGGAAGUCACGGCUAACUCUGUG